CCUACGGGAGGCAGCAGUGAGGAAUAUUGGUCAAUGGACGAGAGUCUGAACCAGCCAAGUAGCGUGAAGGAUGACUGCCCUAUGGGUUGUAAACUUCUUUUAUAUGGGAAUAAAACGUUCCACGUGUGGGAUUUUGUAUGUACCAUAUGAAUAAGGAUCGGCUAACUCCGUGCCAGCAGCCGCGGUAAUACGGAGGAUCCGAGCGUUAUCCGGAUUUAUUGGGUUUAAAGGGAGCGUAGAUGGGUUGUUAAGUCAGUUGUGAAAGUUUGCGGCUCAACCGUAAAAUUGCAAUUGAUACUGGCAGUCUUGAGUACAGUUGAGGUAGGCGGAAUUCGUGGUGUAGCGGUGAAAUGCUUAGAUAUCACGAAGAACUCCGAUUGCGAAGGCAGUUCACUGGACUGCAACUGACACUGAGGCUCGAAAGUGUGGGUAUCAAACAGGAUUAGAUACCCGUGUAGUC
RNAcentral lists this ribosomal RNA (460 nucleotides) under uncultured bacterium. RNAcentral's name for it is "partial 16S ribosomal RNA". It matches the Rfam family "Bacterial small subunit ribosomal RNA", at positions 338 to 795 of the family's 1533-position model. The record is from RNAcentral.